CGCUGAUGCGUUAAGGCUUACUUAGUACGCUGAAUGUAAACAGCUAAAGUGAAGCGGGAUACCAUAGAACAAACAGUGACAUUGUUUGUAUUGGGAUUUGUGCGAUUAUCAAAUAUAGACGAGGUGGCUCCUUAUUUCUAUUUGACAAUCUUCAAGCUGAAAUCGGGGUUAGCCAAUCCUGAUGAAGCUUGAACAAAGCAUUUUGAACAAUUGCAGUAUCUUCCGAGUAAAAAAAUUGCAGACGAACCCUCUCGCAUGUCACGCGGGAGGCUUAGUU
Mogibacterium pumilum is the source of this 277-nucleotide non-coding RNA. The record is from Rfam. NCBI's taxonomy places the organism in Bacteria, Bacillati, Bacillota, Clostridia, Peptostreptococcales, Anaerovoracaceae.